RNAcentral lists this ribosomal RNA (238 nucleotides) under uncultured bacterium. Its description in RNAcentral is "partial 16S ribosomal RNA". It matches the Rfam family "Bacterial small subunit ribosomal RNA", at positions 524 to 762 of the family's 1533-position model. The record is from RNAcentral.
UACGUAGGGUGCAAGCGUUGUCCGGAAUUAUUGGGCGUAAAGAGCUCGUAGGCGGUUUGUUACGUCGGCUGUGAAAACCUGGGGCUCAACCCCGGGCCGGCAGCCGAUACGGGCAGACUAGAAUUCGGUAGGGGAGACUGGAAUUCCUGGUGUAGCGGUGAAAUGCGCAGAUAUCAGGAGGAACACCGGUGGCGAAGGCGGCUUGCGCUCGGCCUACCUGACGCGUGGAGGAAGCCGA